CUACGGGGGGCAGCAGUGGGGAAUAUUGCGCAAUGGGCGAAAGCCUGACGCAGCGACGCCGCGUGAGGGAAGAAGGCCUUCGGGUCGUAAACCUCUGUCAGGAGGGAAGAAACGCACGGGGAGGAAAUGCUCUGUGCCUGACGGUACCUCCAGAGGAAGCACCGGCCAACUCCGUGCCAGCAGCCGCGGUAAUACGGAGGGUGCGAGCGUUAAUCGGAAUUACUGGGCGUAAAGCGCGCGUAGGCGGUUUGGCAAGUCGGGUGUGAAAGCCCUCGGCUCAACCGAGGAACAGCACUUGAAACUGCCAGACUGGAGUUCGGGAGAGGGUAGCGGAAUUCCGGGUGUAGGGGUGAAAUCCGUAGAUAUCCGGAGGAACACCGGUGGCGAAGGCGGCUACCUGGACCGAUACUGACGCUGAGGUGCGAAAGCGUGGGGAGCAAACGGGAUUAGAUACCCCAGUAGUC
RNAcentral lists this ribosomal RNA (464 nucleotides) under uncultured bacterium. RNAcentral describes it as "partial 16S ribosomal RNA". It matches the Rfam family "Bacterial small subunit ribosomal RNA", at positions 339 to 795 of the family's 1533-position model. The record is from RNAcentral.